AUUGAACGCUGGCGGCAUGCUUUACAUAUGCAAGUCGAACGGCAGCGCGGGCUUCGGCCUGGCGGCGAGUGGCGAACGGGUGAGUAAUGCAUCGGAACGUGCCCAGUAGUGGGGGAUAGCCCGGCGAAAGCCGGAUUAAUACCGCAUACGACCUGAGGGUGAAAGCGGGGGACCGAAAGGCCUCGCGCUAUUGGAGCGGCCGAUGUCGGAUUAGCUAGUUGGUGGGGUAAAGGCUUACCAAGGCGACGAUCCGUAGCUGGUCUGAGAGGACGACCAGCCACACUGGGACUGAGACACGGCCCAGACUCCUACGGGAGGCAGCAGUGGGGAAUUUUGGACAAUGGGGGCAACCCUGAUCCAGCCAUGCCGCGUGCGGGAAGAAGGCCUUCGGGUUGUAAACCGCUUUUGUUCGGGAAGAAAUACUCUGGGCUAAUACCCCGGGGGGAUGACGGUACCGGAAGAAUAAGCACCGGCUAACUACGUG
RNAcentral lists this ribosomal RNA (484 nucleotides) under uncultured bacterium. Its description in RNAcentral is "partial 16S ribosomal RNA". It matches the Rfam family "Bacterial small subunit ribosomal RNA", at positions 29 to 507 of the family's 1533-position model. The record is from RNAcentral.